Molecule: transfer RNA, 75 nt
Filed under: Candidatus Ryanbacteria bacterium RIFCSPLOWO2_02_FULL_45_11c
Lineage: Bacteria; Candidatus Ryaniibacteriota
Description: tRNA-Val
Rfam family: tRNA
About the family: Transfer RNA (tRNA) molecules are approximately 80 nucleotides in length.
Source: RNAcentral
GAGCCCAUAGCUCAGUGGUAGAGCGUUCGCUUCACACGCGAAAGGCCGAUGGUUCGAAUCCAUCUGGGCUCACAA